This 493-nucleotide ribosomal RNA is filed under the name uncultured bacterium. RNAcentral's name for it is "partial 16S ribosomal RNA". It matches the Rfam family "Bacterial small subunit ribosomal RNA", at positions 30 to 523 of the family's 1533-position model. The record is from RNAcentral.
AUUGAACGCUGGCGGCAUGCCUUACACAUGCAAGUCGAACGGUAACAGGUUAAGCUGACGAGUGGCGAACGGGUGAGUAAUGUAUCGGAACGUGCCCAGUCGUGGGGGAUAACUGCUCGAAAGAGCAGCUAAUACCGCAUACGACCUGAGGGUGAAAGCGGGGGAUCGCAAGACCUCGCGCGAUUGGAGCGGCCGAUAUCAGAUUAGGUAGUUGGUGAGGUAAAGGCUCACCAAGCCGACGAUCUGUAGCUGGUCUGAGAGGACGACCAGCCACACUGGGACUGAGACACGGCCCAGACUCCUACGGGAGGCAGCAGUGGGGAAUUUUGGACAAUGGGCGCAAGCCUGAUCCAGCCAUGCCGCGUGCGGGAAGAAGGCCUUCGGGUUGUAAACCGCUUUUGUCAGGGAAGAGAAGGUUCUGGCUAAUACCUGGGACUCAUGACGGUACCUGAAGAAUAAGCACCGGCUAACUACGUGCCAGCCGCCGCGGUAA